This 264-nucleotide ribosomal RNA is filed under the name uncultured bacterium. RNAcentral describes it as "partial 16S ribosomal RNA". It matches the Rfam family "Bacterial small subunit ribosomal RNA", at positions 90 to 354 of the family's 1533-position model. The record is from RNAcentral.
UCUUAGUGGCGGACGGGUGAGUAACGCGUGGGUAACCUGCCUUGCACUGGGGGAUAACACUUAGAAAUAGGUGCUAAUACCGCCUAAGCGCACGGUCCUGCAUGGGACAGUGUGAAAAACUCCGGUGGUGCAAGAUGGACCCGCGUCUGAUUAGCUGGUUGGCGGGGUAAAGGCCCACCAAGGCGACGAUCAGUAGCCGGCCUGAGAGGGUGGACGGCCACAUUGGGACUGAGACACGGCCCAAACUCCUACGGGAGGCAGCAG